UGGGGAAUUUUGGACAAUGGGCGAAAGCCUGAUCCAGCAAUGCCGCGUGUGUGAAGAAGGCCUUCGGGUUGUAAAGCACUUUUGUCCGGAAAGAAAUCCUUGGCUCUAAUACAGUCGGGGGAUGACGGUACCGGAAGAAUAAGCACCGGCUAACUACGUGCCAGCAGCCGCGGUAAUACGUAGGGUGCAAGCGUUAAUCGGAAUUACUGGGCGUAAAGCGUGCGCAGGCGGUUUGCUAAGACCGAUGUGAAAUCCCCGGGCUCAACCUGGGAACUGCAUUGGUGACUGGCAGGCUAGAGUAUGGCAGAGGGGGGUAGAAUUCCACGUGUAGCAGUGAAAUGCGUAGAGAUGUGGAGGAAUACCGAUGGCGAAGGCAGCCCCUGGGCCAAUACUGACGCUCAUGCACGAAAAGCGUGGGGAGCAAAACAGGAUUAGAUACCCUGGUAGUCCACGCCCUAAAACGAUGUCAACUAGUUGUUGGGGAUUCAUUUCCUUAGUAACGUAGCUAACGCGUGAAGUUGACCGCCUGGGGAGUACGGUCGCAAGAUUAAAACUUAAAGGAAUUGACGGGGUCAUAGCUGUUUCCU
Molecule: ribosomal RNA, 587 nt
Filed under: uncultured bacterium
Lineage: Bacteria
Description: partial 16S ribosomal RNA
Rfam family: Bacterial small subunit ribosomal RNA
Source: RNAcentral